GGUCAUAUCACGUUAAAAAACCGGUUCCCAUAUGAUCACCGAAGGUAAGCAACGUCGAGUUUGGUCAGUACCUAGAUGAUUGACCGAUUGGGAAUAUCAGGUGCUGUAAG
Non-coding RNA from Acanthosepion pharaonis, 110 nucleotides. The record is from the annotation of a GenBank genome assembly. Lineage: Eukaryota; Metazoa; Mollusca; Cephalopoda; Sepiida; Sepiidae.